RNAcentral lists this unclassified non-coding RNA (2556 nucleotides) under Drosophila mojavensis. Its description in RNAcentral is "GI19152". The record is from RNAcentral. Lineage: Eukaryota; Metazoa; Arthropoda; Insecta; Diptera; Drosophilidae.
CGGGUGAGCUGUUCGCGCUCGCGUUCCGUUCCGACAACGACACCUACAUCGACAAGCAGUGAAAAUCAAGAAGAAUAGAAAAUUAAAAGAAAAACCGGGAAGAAAAAGAAAAAUAUACAGUGGUGCUGAAAUCAAAUACGGCCAGCAAAAUUGGCAUUUAGCGAGCUUCAAGCCAACUGAAUUAUGUCGGGCGACGUACAGCCACGAAAGCGUAAGGAUAAGCGCAAAAGACGUGAUGAUCGCAAAUCGGAGGGCGAUGUCACCAUACUGCGCCAGUCCAGCUUUCAAGAUGACGACGACUCGUCUUCCCACGGCGUGCAUAUCACAAAGAUGGGAAACGAUGAUGUGCACUUGCACGUGCAGCAUCAACAUGGAACUGGGGGGCACUGGUGUGCCAAGAUUAUAUUCUUCUCCCUAAUGGCUGUGCUGCUAGGACUGGUGGGUCUGAUAAUAAUGGAAAAUCGUGGCAUAGAGGACUUGGAUACACCCCUGUCGGAGUCACGUUAUUCGAAUUAUUUUGAUGGCUGGGUGGAGGAGCAUCGUGCGGAGGAGCACGAUGAACACGAUGAACAUCUCUCACAUGAAGCUGCACUGGAUGAACAUGAUGAUGAACACGAUGAUGAAGUAGAAGAGCCAUACGAACAGCAUUCUGGCGAAGAAGAGGAAACAGAGCAAGAACACGACGAAGACGCGAAUGAUGAAGAUGACGAGGAAGAGGAAGAGAAUACUGCUGCUGAAAAUGUAACAGCUGAGGAUGAUGAAGAAAAGGAUGAGGAUGAUGACAUAGCAGAGUCAGCAGACCGAACUCAAUACUUGGCCGAUGAUGCUGAAGAGGAGGAAGAAGAAGCUGAUGAGGAGGAGGAGGAGGAGGAUGCAGAUGGUGACAUUGAAGAGUCCAUUGAGCCAAUCGCAUCCAAGUCAAGAGCUCAGAGUGCGCCCGAAACAGUUGAAGAAGAUGAUGAUAAUAUUGAGGAGGAAGAGGAGGAGGAGGAUGAAGAGGAAGAGCAAGCGGAAUCUGUUGAGCCAACAAUUUCAAAAUCUCAGGCUGCUGAUGAUGAUGAUGAGCAGGAUAAUGAUGAGGAUGCUGCGGAAGAGGAGGAUGAAAAGCUUGAAGAAUCUGCGGAGCCAGCAGCACAAAGUGUUCCUGAUGAUGAUGAUGACGAUGAAUUCGAGCAGGCUGACAAUGAUGAAGAUGAAUUCGAAUCCCUCGAUCAAGAUGUCGAUACUCAGGCUGAGCAGCUAAAAGCCAAGGAAGCGAAAGAUCAGGCAGCUGAAGAGAACAUUGAGGCAGUUACAACCACAUCCUGGCUGGGCUCACUUGCCGUUAAAUUUGGCGUUGGCAUUGCACUUGCCCUUGUUUCACGCCUUGUAUUGAUACGGAAUAAUCCAAAUACAAUCAAAGCUUUGUUAAAACUCUUAAACAAUAUGCGCCAAUCCGAUGAGCAGCAGCCGACGCCGGAGAUUCAAAUGAGACGCCGCUUGACCAUUGCCACAGCCGAGGAUCAUAUACCCGAUGAUGAUACGGAGGAGCUGCCGCCGUUAGAUGAUGAGGCGUAUUCGGAGGAAGAAAUCGAGAUCGAGGAGGAAAUCGAGGUAGAGACCAGCGAUAUAGAGGAGUGCGAUGAUAAUGUUGCUCUAACAGCCAGAUAUGUGCCGGAGACUUUCGAGCAGCUGAGUGCCAUGUUCCGGCCCAAAACGGAGUCGCAGCCAAGCGAGAAGGAGUCAGAGAAAGAGCCGGAGCCGCAACCGAAACCGGAGGUGGAAGCAGAGCGAGAACCGGAAACUGAACCAGAAGCCGAAGGAACAGCUGCCUCAGAUAUUUAUGUGGAAUACGAGGAUGGAGACAUUGAGGAUUACGAACACGACGACAGCGAGGAUGAUGAUGAAUUGAUCAGCGAUGAGGAGGAGGAUGAAAUCUCCGAUGUGGAUGAUGCUGACCUAAUGAGCCGCUUGGAGGCCAAAUAUGGCCGAUUGCCAGCCAAGGAAUACGAAAGCAAUCCUGAUUCCGACGAUCCGUCCUGGACACAAAUUAAACCUAAAGAACCAACUGGAGCCAAGUUUGUUGAGGACGAGCUAUUCGAGCAAGAGCUGCGCCGAGCUCAAGCCGAAAUGAUCAAUGAGAACCAUGCGAAUGCUCUGCGCGCCUUUAACACGCUCACACACACAUACGCACACAAGCCGUUGGCUCAUUUAAGGCGGGCGCAGGCGCUGGAACGGAUCGCCGAGCUGCGCCGCAGCAAUCAGCUGCUUAUGGACGCCAUUGAGUCCUAUAAGCGUUAUUUGGCUUUCGAUGAAUCGAUAACAAAUAUCGACUAUCGCACAGCUGGCGAACGUUGCAUAGAGCAUAUGCGGUUUCUGGACACAGCCGGCGGUUGCCAUACACGAGCUGCUCAUCGAGCGUUAUCCGGAUGAGGUGCAGCUGCGCAAUCAGCUAUCGCUUACCUAUCUAAUGUCCAAUAAGUGGUUUGCUUAAGCUGCAGCAGGUCUCGCGCGAUACGCUCAAGCGCUGGCCACGGGAUCCCUUGGCGCAGCUGCACUUUGGCCUGACGCUCAAAC